UCCCUCAUAGCUCAGUCGGUAAAGAAUCUGCCUGCAACGCAGGAGACCUGGGUUUGAUUCCUGGGUCGGGAA
This 72-nucleotide transfer RNA is filed under the name Bos taurus (domestic cattle). It matches the Rfam family "tRNA". Rfam says of the family: Transfer RNA (tRNA) molecules are approximately 80 nucleotides in length. Their secondary structure includes four short double-helical elements and three loops (D, anti-codon, and T loops). Lineage: Eukaryota; Metazoa; Chordata; Mammalia; Artiodactyla; Bovidae. RNAcentral also lists the same sequence under 1 other name. The record is from Rfam by way of RNAcentral.